GCGGCUGUGGCGGAAUUGGCAGACGCACUAGACUUAGGAUCUAGCGCUUAGGCAUAAGGGUUCAAGUCCCUUCAGCCGCACCA
RNAcentral lists this transfer RNA (83 nucleotides) under Bacilli bacterium. RNAcentral describes it as "tRNA-Leu". It matches the Rfam family "tRNA". Rfam says of the family: Transfer RNA (tRNA) molecules are approximately 80 nucleotides in length. Lineage: Bacteria; Bacillati; Bacillota; Bacilli. RNAcentral also lists the same sequence under 2 other names. The record is from RNAcentral.